GAUGAACGCUGGCGGCGUGCCUAAUACAUGCAAGUCGAGCGAACAGACGAGGAGCUUGCUCCUCUGACGUUAGCGGCGGACGGGUGAGUAACACGUGGAUAACCUACCUAUAAGACUGGGAUAACUUCGGGAAACCGGAGCUAAUACCGGAUAAUAUAUUGAACCGCAUGGUUCAAUAGUGAAAGACGGUUUUGCUGUCACUUAUAGAUGGAUCCGCGCCGCAUUAGCUAGUUGGUAAGGUAACGGCUUACCAAGGCGACGAUGCGUAGCCGACCUGAGAGGGUGAUCGGCAACACUGGAACUGAGACACGGUCCAGACUCCUACGGGAGGCAGCAGUAGGGAAUCUUCCGCAAUGGGCGAAAGCCUGACGGAGAAACGCCGCGUGAGUGAUGAAGGUCUUCGGAUCGUAAAACUCUGUUAUUAGGGAAGAACAAAUGUGUAAGUAACUAUGCACGUCUUGACGGUACCUAAUCAGAAAGCCACGGCUAACUACGUG
RNAcentral lists this ribosomal RNA (497 nucleotides) under uncultured bacterium. RNAcentral's name for it is "partial 16S ribosomal RNA". It matches the Rfam family "Bacterial small subunit ribosomal RNA", at positions 28 to 507 of the family's 1533-position model. The record is from RNAcentral.